UUGUCAGGCACAGGAACAGGCUACCCAGGAAAGUGGUUGAGUCAUCAUCCCUGGAGGUAUUUAAAAGAUGUGUAGACGUGGUGCUUAGGGACAAGGUUUAGUGGUGGAAUUGGCAGUGUUAGGUUCUGUUGGGCUUGAUGAUCUUAAAGGUCUUUUCCAACCUAAACAAUUCUAUGUUUCUAUGUUUAAAGGGACCUCAGGACAUCACUAAUCCAACCUUCUGCUCAAAACAAGGU
Long non-coding RNA from Athene cunicularia (burrowing owl), 236 nucleotides. RefSeq lists it as uncharacterized. The record is from RefSeq and is a predicted model, not a curated record. The transcript has 3 exons. Lineage: Eukaryota; Metazoa; Chordata; Aves; Strigiformes; Strigidae.